Molecule: ribosomal RNA, 492 nt
Filed under: uncultured bacterium
Lineage: Bacteria
Description: partial 16S ribosomal RNA
Rfam family: Bacterial small subunit ribosomal RNA
Source: RNAcentral
GAUGAACGCUAGCUACAGGCUUAACACAUGCAAGUCGAGGGGAAACGGCAUCGAAAGCUUGCUUUUGAUGGGCGUCGACCGGCGCACGGGUGAGUAACGCGUUUCCAACCUGCCCAUCACUUGUGAAUAACCUUGCGAAAGUAAGACUAAUGCCCAAUGACAUCCCACGAAGGCAUCCGAAUGGGAUUAAAGAUUUAUCGGUGAUGGAUGGGGAUGCGUCUGAUUAGCUUGUUGGCGGGGUGACGGCCCACCAAGGCAACGAUCAGUAGGGGUUCUGAGAGGAAGGUCCCCCACAUUGGAACUGAGACACGGUCCAAACUCCUACGGGAGGCAGCAGUGAGGAAUAUUGGUCAAUGGGCGAGAGCCUGAACCAGCCAAGUAGCGUGCAGGAUGACGGCCCUAUGGGUUGUAAACUGCUUUUAUAAGGGAAUAAAGUGGGUCACGUGUGACUUUUUGCAUGUACCUUAUGAAUAAGGACCGGCUAAUUCCGUG